Myotis lucifugus (little brown bat) is the source of this 71-nucleotide non-coding RNA. The record is from Rfam. Lineage: Eukaryota; Metazoa; Chordata; Mammalia; Chiroptera; Vespertilionidae.
GCCAGCGUGGCUCAGUGGUUGAGCGCUGAGCUAUGAACUAGGAGGUCAGGGUUCUAUUCCCUGUUGGGGCA